CUUGGCGUUAGUUAUAACAUUUCGUCAGAAAAGUCCAUAUUCAAGAACGGAGAAAAAAAUAGUGAAAGGAGUUUGGCUAUACAAUCGCGGACCUCAGAGUAUAACUUUGUUGAUUCGAUUCCUGUCAAAUUAAGAAGAAUGAAAGUUAUGUUGGCUUUUCUAUGCGUCGUGAGUGUGUUCAUUGCAUUUACGACGCCACUGACCGAUGACGACAAAGGUCGAUCUUUGUCCUCACUAACUGACGAUGAAAAAGGACAGGUACACUUAAACAGGGAACGUUCUCCACGAUUUUUGCGCUUCCGCCUUCGUCGAACUCGUCGACCUCAUCGAUCUCGUCGAUCUCGUCGAUCUCGUCGGCCGGCUUCACGAUGCCCUACGAUCAGAUUCCCGUGUUCUCAAAUGCCAAACGUUUGUGCUAACAUGAGAAACGCCAUAAGAAUGGGAAAACCGACGGUUUUGCUGAGGACAACGGACUCAUCGCAGAUACGAAGAAACAGGCGUGCGUCAGGAUGUCGGCAGCUUGGUCGUAGAGCUGGUUACAACUGUGACGAAUACCCAUUCGCCUCUACUUUUCAGGGAGGUAGUAACGCUGUUGUGAGAUUGGUACCUAUUCGGGAGAACUCUAUCCAAGGGGCAACGCUGGGUAACUUCUACAGGCGAAACGGGAUUGGACAUAGAGGUUGUUUUAGGGUCAGCGUGUAGUGAUGCAUCGAUACAUGGAGACUUUCUCAGCACUUAAAUUUCAACUUCUACGUUAAAUAUAGCACGUUUGAGAUAAUAAUUUUUUUUCAUUUCUUCAUUUGCU
Dendronephthya gigantea is the source of this 805-nucleotide long non-coding RNA. RefSeq lists it as uncharacterized. The record is from RefSeq and is a predicted model, not a curated record. NCBI's taxonomy places the organism in Eukaryota, Metazoa, Cnidaria, Anthozoa, Malacalcyonacea, Nephtheidae. The transcript is spliced from 3 exons.